RNAcentral lists this transfer RNA (66 nucleotides) under Urolabida sp. FS-2019. Its description in RNAcentral is "tRNA-Gly". The record is from RNAcentral. Lineage: Eukaryota; Metazoa; Arthropoda; Insecta; Hemiptera; Urostylididae.
AUUUUUUUAGUAUAAUUAAUAUAAUUGAUUUCCAAUCAAAAGAUCUUUUUAGAUAAAGAAAAAAUA